Long non-coding RNA from Orbicella faveolata, 469 nucleotides. The record is from RefSeq and is a predicted model, not a curated record. NCBI's taxonomy places the organism in Eukaryota, Metazoa, Cnidaria, Anthozoa, Scleractinia, Merulinidae.
AAUUUCAAUUUUAAGCACAUUUUGUGUGGUCAUUAAGUUUUUACAUUUAUUGCUGCGUGAACUAACCCUUUUUGUGUCCUUGGUUACAGAUAGCGAAGAGGUUCUCAUCAAAAAGAUGUUGAGUGGUCAUCGAAGUUUGUGUCUGCCGCUGAACCCAGCCCAAGUUCCAACCAGUCCAACUUACCAGCCAAAAAGCAGAAAACACACCAGCAGCCAAGGAAAACUCAAGUCGAUUCAAGUGUUCAUAAGAAUUGAUUUGGGCUGUGUUUUGAGGAGACCUGGAGCACCCACAUCUAAUCUUGUCUUACCCAUGGCGACGCAGUGCAUCAAGUUUUCAACAGGAAAGUCCAGUGACUAGUGUUGAUCCGUAUGAUGCGUUUCUGGCGGAGCAGAAAAAGCAGGAGGCUGACUGGGAAUCAAAUCAAGCCAACAAGAAGGCAAAAACCAUGCAGACCACAAACAAAGAUUU